UACAGAGGAGCCAAGCGUUGUCCGGAUUGACUGGGCGUAAAGCGCACGCAGGCGGUUGCGCGCGUGGGGUGUGAAAUCUGGCCGCUUAACGGCCAGGCGCCAUCCCAUACGGCGCGACUGGAGUGAUGCAGAGGUCGAUGGAAUUGCCGGUGUAGCGGUGAAAUGCGUAGAUAUCGGGAGGAACACCUGUGGCGAAAGCGGCGCACUGGACCAUAACUGACGCUGAUGCGCGAAAGCUAGGGGAGCAAACAGG
This 253-nucleotide ribosomal RNA is filed under the name uncultured bacterium. Its description in RNAcentral is "partial 16S ribosomal RNA". It matches the Rfam family "Bacterial small subunit ribosomal RNA", at positions 524 to 776 of the family's 1533-position model. The record is from RNAcentral.